GCUUUUGGCCAAUUAUCAACAAGAGAGUUGGCAAUUAGGCAAAAUCUAUAACGCAAAGUAAGCUAUGAACGGAAUUAAAACGUUAAGAAAGAUAAAAUGUAAAGCAUUUCUAACAAAAACAAAUUAAUUAAGGAUGUACUUAGGUGAGGUUUUGGAAUUUGUGUAAAAUGUUCGGACUCCUUGGUAUUUUUCCAUACAAUACAAUGUAAAAUAUUUUGCCCCAUGACACCCAUUUUUUUUUUCAUAUAAGGCUUAAUAGCUCAUGAAAGGUCAUUUACCAAAAUUUUAGAAGAUUCGUGAUUUUCUUUCUUCUGUUUUAAGACACAAAUAAUACCAAUGCAAAUGUAAGGUAAAAGUCCGAGUCAGCCUUUUCCCGCCAUAUUUUAAAUCUCAAAUAUCUCGAAAAGGAGGUCCAUGACCUAUCAAUAUUUUUAGCUUAUUUUUAUCCUUAAUUGAUGCUCUACCAGCUUAUAGUAUCAAUUUUAAUUUCUUUUUAAUUUCUUAAUUUUCACCUAACCUCACCUAAGUACAUCCUUAAUGUAAUUAAAACACAAUAAACGUAAAACAAAUAUUAAUGACAAUUGUAAACAACAACAUUAGAAUUACUGACUCCUGAUUUGGAACUUGCACAUUCAAAGGGAACCUGGGUUAACAUGUUAGCAAGCACUGAAUCCUACCAUCACCUGGACAUUUGUGUAACAACAGCACAAAACGACAUACUAUUAACAUAUGUGACUCUUCAGGUCGCCACACAGCCACCCCAUCCCCCCUUUCCCC
Molecule: long non-coding RNA, 777 nt
Filed under: Mytilus galloprovincialis (Mediterranean mussel)
Lineage: Eukaryota; Metazoa; Mollusca; Bivalvia; Mytilida; Mytilidae
Source: RNAcentral